UUAUUUAAAAAAUUAUUUAAUAAAAUAAUUUGAAUAGUAAAAAUUUUAUUAUUUAAAAAAUUAUUUAAUAAAAUGAUUUGAAUAAUGAAAAUGGAAGAGGUGGAGGAAAAUGGAGGAAAGUAGAUGGAGAGUGCCCUCUCCCUGAACCAAACUUCUGUCAUCACCGUCUCUCCCUCAGUCUCUGUCUUCACUACCAGAUGAAGUUAAGGAAAGCGUGAGAGAGAGAUUUGGUAGCUAAGACCUAAGAAGCCUGAUCUGAGACCGAGACCGAGACUGCUAUACUUUUGCUUCGGAAAAUGUGUUUGGAAAUGUGAUUUGCGCACACAAGAUCGCAGAGCGACAACUUCUGGAGCUCGCGAGGUACUUCGUCUUCCAAAUUUAGCCCUUUCCCUCUGCAAUCUGUGUCAGUUGAGCGAGUUUAAUCGACGUGAAAUUGUAAAAGCGGUGGAGCAUGGGUGGACGAUUUUCACCAGAUGCGUUUUUAAUUGGUCCAAUUUCCGCUCUUUCUUGGUGAGGGCUUUCAUUGACAUCUUAUUUCAUGGCAUGUAGAUUGAGUUUGUAAUCUCCGUCCAGUGUCUCCCUUACUGAUAUACCUAAAGAAUCUCCUAAUGACACACUUAGUCGAACUACAGAUCUGACUUAGGGUUUUCAAGUGAGAGAAACUAUCGAAGUUGAUCAAGCUGCUGCAACAAGCUUAUAAAGUUUAUUUAAGGUCUAUUCUUGUCCUUACCGCAUUUGGUGCUGUUUUAGUAUUCGAUAUGGCCUACGAGUUAAGUGAGAUAAAGAUGUCAACAUGGGAGAAUAUUAUUGUGAGAUUUUCAAAUUCUAUGACGAUGAUGUAAGAUGUUUCUUUUGUUCAAACAGAUAAAGGGCAAUUUCAUUGUGAGGAAUGCUGUUUUUGCAGGUUAGUAUGAGGAAUGCUGUAUUUGCAGAUAAAAAUCUGAUAUCAUGAUCAGCUUAUUGCCCACAAUUAAGGAGACUACAAAAUUUCAAGGAUAGGAUGAACUCCUUAUUGCUGUUUAUGUCACUGCUCAAGCUUCUCAAGGAGAUUUGGUUAUGGGGUUAUAUUUGUGGGUAUCUAUUCUCUUGCCAAUGCUGAGUGGCAAGUCUAGUGGGAAUCCUCAAUCAAGAGACUUGGUUUUACAAUUGGUGGAGAGGGUAGAAAUACUACAAGCAUUUUUAAGGGUUUCUGACCAUGGAUGAGUCCUUCCCAUGUUUACAUUCAAUAACUUUGAGGGCUAUGUAAGUGCCUAUUUUUAGGUUUCUGUUGUGGAUGCCAUGGGAGAUGAUGGGUUGGUGGUUGAAAUGAUGAAUUAGCAGCAUAACAACACGGGUCACGUGGAUGUCCAACUGGCAGAAGAGACAAAAAGAGUUUGUUGGAGAAGCAAACGGAAUUGCAAGCCAUCAUGGAAGAUCAUCGCAAAUGAGGGUAUGUGAGGUGGGAAACACAGGUGGAAAGGGUUAUGGGGUUUGUUAGCUAAAAUCUUUUCUCUGUAUUGCUGUUCUUCCUUUCCCUAUGAUAUUUUCUUGAAUGUUCUGUUCUGUUGCUCUGUUGACUUUUGCUGUAAUUUCUACUUAGGCAUAUAUUACGGUGGAAUUGUGAAUAAUGCAGCAUGAGUAGUUCAUUUUGUGAUCAGUAUUACGCAUAAUCUCGUGUUGAAUUGUGACCAUAACAGUUUCCUUGUCUACCUUCAGUUGCGUUGUUGGAGUACCAAUUCUUCAAUUUUGUAGGCACCUUUGCAAAAGAUUCCAUUUCUUUGAGAUUUUAUAUCAUGAACAUGUUAUGAUAUAGAAGUGCAUGGAGAGGGGAUGCUAAUUUAGUUUAAAGGUAUGAUUAUUAAGUUGGAAAACCUGAGUUGCACCAAUAUGGGAGAAGCAUUCUUCAGGGUUUAGUAGGACUACCGAUUGAAGGACACUCUGAACUUGAGAACUGUGGGGAGAAGAAGUUUGAUGUGCGGUAGGAUUUUACCAUUGAAUUUGCUUAUUGGAGAUUGAUGGCUAAGUGAAUGGAGCAGGAUUUUGUACAUGUAGAGGGAUAGUGGGAAACAAAAUGAAUGGGUUGUUGGUUUCUAUUAUAAAUUGAGCCACUUUCACCUAUAUGAUCUCAGAAAUUAAUGCAAUUACUAUGGAAUUGAGGCUUUAACGGGACAAUGCAUUUAGGCAUAUUAACAUUGCAUCAUACUAUCUUCAAGUCCAAACUAUACAAUUUGACCACGAGGAAAAUAACAAAUUAUGUAUUGAUAUCAUUGAUGGAAAUUUUAUAUUGAUAUGUUGUUAUGUAUACAA
Prosopis cineraria is the source of this 2286-nucleotide long non-coding RNA. RefSeq lists it as uncharacterized. The record is from RefSeq and is a predicted model, not a curated record. The transcript has 11 exons. Lineage: Eukaryota; Viridiplantae; Streptophyta; Magnoliopsida; Fabales; Fabaceae.